This 390-nucleotide ribosomal RNA is filed under the name uncultured eukaryote. Its description in RNAcentral is "partial 18S ribosomal RNA". It matches the Rfam family "Eukaryotic small subunit ribosomal RNA", at positions 592 to 976 of the family's 1831-position model. The record is from RNAcentral.
CAAUAGCGUAUAUUAAAGUUGUUGCAGUUAAAAAGCUCGUAGUUGGAUUGUAGGUGUUUUGAUGUUGUGUGGGUUUUCUAAUGGAGACUGACAUGAAACAAAACCCUUUUUUGCAAUAUUCUAUUUCUGGCAUUGAGUUGUUUGGAGAUGUGAAUUUGCAUCGUUUACUGUGAAAAAAUUAGAGUGUUUAAAGCAGGCGUUGUGUUUUGAAUACAUUAGCAUGGAAUAAUAAGAUACGACUUUGGUGGUCUAUUUUGUUGGUUUGCACACCAGAGUAAUGAUUAAUAGGGACAGUUGGGGGGUAUUCAUAUUUGAGCGUCAGAGGUGAAAUUCUUGGAUCGCUGAAAGAUGAGCUUUGGCGAAAGCAUUUACCAUGGAUGUUUUCAUUAA